Molecule: long non-coding RNA, 374 nt
Filed under: Gallus gallus (chicken)
Lineage: Eukaryota; Metazoa; Chordata; Aves; Galliformes; Phasianidae
Description: lncRNA (ENSGALG00010004099.1)
Source: RNAcentral
CGCCAUCUUGGAGGGCCGCGUCCACCGCCGCCGCCGCCGCCGACUCCGCCGCCGCCGGAGAGGGCCCCGACGGACGCGAUGACGUCGGACGACUUCGAUAUCGUCAUCGAGGCGAUGCUGGAGGCGCCCUACAAGAAGGAGGAGGCGCAGCCCGGACCCUCAAAGCCACCGACGGAAACUGCGCCCCCUCAGGUGCCGUUUUGGGGCUAAAAAGGCUCUUUUUGGGGUCCCGGAAGGAUUUGGGGUGGAAAAAGGAAAAGGGGUGGGGGUGGGGGGGGGGGGGGUCUGACCUUUGACCUCUGACCUCUGACCCCGCAGCAGCCGCCCGAGGAGCACAGCAAGGAGCCCAAAAAGGAGAGCGGGGGCAGCAGCAG